GUAUUCUUUUGCCAGCGCUUAACUGCGCGGCGAAAAACCUUACACACAGUGUCUUUUUGAUACAGAACUCUUGCUUUGGUUUGGCCUAGAGAUAGGUUGGGCCAGAGGUUUAACAAAACACAAUUUAAUUAUUUUUACAGUUAGUCAAAUUUUGAAUUAAUCUUCAAAACUUUCAACAACGGAUCUCUUGGUUCU
This 195-nucleotide unclassified non-coding RNA is filed under the name rhizosphere metagenome. Its description in RNAcentral is "partial ribosomal RNA internal transcribed spacer region". The record is from RNAcentral.